RNAcentral lists this ribosomal RNA (460 nucleotides) under uncultured bacterium. RNAcentral's name for it is "partial 16S ribosomal RNA". It matches the Rfam family "Bacterial small subunit ribosomal RNA", at positions 338 to 795 of the family's 1533-position model. The record is from RNAcentral.
CCUACGGGCGGCAGCAGUUAUUACUAUUGUUCCCUGGGCGGCCUCCUGAACCAGCCAUGCCGCGUGCAGGACGACGGCUCUACGAGUUGUAAACUGCUUUUGUACCGGGGUAAAAUGCCUUACGUGUAGGGUUUUGAAAGUACGGUACGAAUAAGGAUCGGCUAACUCCGUGCCAGCAGCCGCGGUAAUACGGAGGAUCCGAGCGUUAUCCGGAUUCAUUGGGUUUAAAGGGUGCGUAGGUUGUUUUAUAAGUUAGCGGUGAAAUACCGAUGCUCAACAUCGGGGCUGCCGCUAAUACUGUAGGACUAGAGAUCGGAUGCAGCAGGCGGAAUGUGUAGUGUAGCGGUGAAAUGCAUAGAUAUUACACAGAACACCGAUUGCGAAGGCAGCUUGCUAGGCCGGAUCUGACACUGAUGCACGAAAGCGUGGGGAUCGAACAGGAUUAGAUACCCGUGUAGUC